CUACGGGGCGCAGCAGUAGGGAAUCUUGUGCAAUGGGCGAAAGCCUGACACAGCCAUGCCGCGUGUGUGAAGAAGGCCUUCGGGUUGUAAAGCACUUUCAGUAGGGACGAAAUAGCGGGACCAAUAAUCCCGUGAAAUGACACUACCUACAGAAGAAGCACCGGCUAACUCCGUGCCAGCAGCCGCGGUAAUACGGAGGGUGCAAACGUUAAUCGGAAUUACUGGGCGUAAAGCGCGCGUAGGUGGUUUGUUAAGUGGGAUGUGAAAGCCCCGGGCUUAACCUGGGAACUGCAUUCCAAACUGAUGAACUAGAGUACGAUAGAGGGGGGUAGAAUUCAGAGUGUAGCGGUGAAAUGCGUAGAUAUUCUGAGGAAUACCGGUGGCGAAGGCGGCCCCCUGGAUUGAUACUGACGCUGAGGCGCGAAAGCGUGGGGAGCAAACAGGAUUAGAUACCCUUGUAGUC
This 463-nucleotide ribosomal RNA is filed under the name uncultured bacterium. RNAcentral describes it as "partial 16S ribosomal RNA". It matches the Rfam family "Bacterial small subunit ribosomal RNA", at positions 339 to 795 of the family's 1533-position model. The record is from RNAcentral.